AAUUUCUUUCCACGAAAAGAAAGGAAAUGUUUCAUUCUACAAAGUAAAAAGCUUUUUUUACGAGGUACAAAUAGAAAUACCUCUUUGUUUGAUUUGUUACGAAAUCGACCAUAGAUCAAUUCCCUUUUUAUUUGGGAGUAUUGACUACACCCAAAUUUUGAGCUUCAUGUUACUCUUUCCAAGUGACAUGUCAGGUCCAUGGCAUCCCAAUUGGAUUGACUGGGAUG
RNAcentral lists this long non-coding RNA (227 nucleotides) under Nicotiana benthamiana. RNAcentral's name for it is "long non-coding RNA (NBEN_LNC039012)". Lineage: Eukaryota; Viridiplantae; Streptophyta; Magnoliopsida; Solanales; Solanaceae. The record is from RNAcentral.